UCGAGAAUAUUCGACAAUGGGCGAAAGCCUGAUCGAGCGACGCCGCGUGCAGGAUGAAGGCCCUCGGGUUGUAAACUGCGGUAGUAGGGGAGGAACGCAAGUGACUGUACCCUACGGAAAGUGGUUGGUAACUACGUGCCAGCACCAGCGGUAAUACGUAGACCACAAGCGUUAUCCGGAUUUAUUGGGCGUAAAGAGCAUGUAGGAGGUCCGGUGCGUCUCUGGUUAAAGCCCACCGCCUAACGGUGGAAGUGCCAGAGAUACGAUCGGACUGGAGGAUGUGAGAGGUGCAUGGAACUCACGGUGUAGGGGUGAAAUCCGUUGAUAUCGUGGGGAACACCAAAGGCGAAGGCAGUGCACUGGUACAUUCCUGACUCUGAGAUGCGAAAGCGUGGGGAGCAAAAAGGAUUAGAUACCCAAGUAGUCCCUGAGCGGGCUGGCAAGGCGCAU
This 450-nucleotide ribosomal RNA is filed under the name uncultured bacterium. RNAcentral describes it as "bacterial SSU rRNA". It matches the Rfam family "Bacterial small subunit ribosomal RNA", at positions 355 to 825 of the family's 1533-position model. The record is from RNAcentral.